RNAcentral lists this ribosomal RNA (253 nucleotides) under uncultured bacterium. Its description in RNAcentral is "partial 16S ribosomal RNA". It matches the Rfam family "Bacterial small subunit ribosomal RNA", at positions 524 to 776 of the family's 1533-position model. The record is from RNAcentral.
UACGUAGGUGGCAAGCGUUGUCCGGAUUUACUGGGCGUAAAGAGCGCGCAGGCGGUCGUUCAAGUCGCGUGUGAAAGCCCCCGGCUCAACUGGGGAGGGUCACGCGAUACUGAUCGACUGGAAGGCAGGAGAGGGUAGUGGAAUUCCCGGUGUAGUGGUGAAAUGCGUAGAGAUCGGGCGGAACACCAGCGGCGAAGGCGGCAUCCUGGCCCUGUCCUGACGCUGAGGCGCGAGAGCGUGGGGAGCAAACCGG